UACAUAGGGGGCAAGCGUUAUCCGGAAUUACUGGGUGUAAAGGGUGCGUAGGCGGUUAUGUAAGUCAGAUGUGAAAACCCUGAGCUCAACUUAGGGAAUGCAUUUGAAACUAUGUGACUAGAGUAUGGGAGAGGUAAGUGGAAUUCCUAGUGUAGCGGUAAAAUGCGUAGAUAUUAGGAAGAACACCAGUGGCGAAGGCGACUUACUGGACCAAAACUGACGCUGAGGCACGAAAGCGUGGGGAGCAAACAGG
Molecule: ribosomal RNA, 253 nt
Filed under: uncultured bacterium
Lineage: Bacteria
Description: partial 16S ribosomal RNA
Rfam family: Bacterial small subunit ribosomal RNA
Source: RNAcentral